This 586-nucleotide ribosomal RNA is filed under the name uncultured bacterium. Its description in RNAcentral is "partial 16S ribosomal RNA". It matches the Rfam family "Bacterial small subunit ribosomal RNA", at positions 355 to 1375 of the family's 1533-position model. The record is from RNAcentral.
UGGGGAAUUUUGGACAAUGGGCGAAAGCCUGAUCCAGCAAUGCCGCGUGUGUGAAGAAGGCCUUCGGGUUGUAAAGCACUUUUGUCCGGAAAGAAAUCCUUGGCUCUAAUACAGUCGGGGGAUGACGGUACCGGAAGAAUAAGCACCGGCUAACUACGUGCCAGCGGCCGCGGUAAUACGUAGGGUGCAAGCGUUAAUCGGAAUUACUGGGCGUAAAGCGUGCGCAGGCGGUUUGCUAAGACCGAUGUGAAAUCCCCGGGCUCAACCUGGGAACUGCAUUGGUGACUGGCAGGCUAGAGUAUGGCAGAGGGGGGUAGAAUUCCACGUGUAGCAGUGAAAUGCGUAGAGAUGUGGAGGAAUACCGAUGGCGAAGGCAGCCCCCUGGGCCAAUACUGACGCUCAUGCACGAAAGCGUGGGGAGCAAACAGGAUUAGAUACCCUGGUAGUCCACGCCCUAAACGAUGUCAACUAGUUGUUGGGGGAUUCAUUUCCUUAGUAACGUAGCUAACGCGUGAAGUUGACCGCCUGGGGAGUACGGUCGCAAGAUUAAAACUUAAAUGAAUUGACGGGGUCAUAGCUGUUUCCU